RNAcentral lists this ribosomal RNA (372 nucleotides) under uncultured organism. Its description in RNAcentral is "partial 16S ribosomal RNA". It matches the Rfam family "Bacterial small subunit ribosomal RNA", at positions 527 to 896 of the family's 1533-position model. The record is from RNAcentral.
GUAGGUGGCAAGCGUUGUCCGGAAUUAUUGGGCGUAAAGCGCGCGCAGGCGGUUCUUUAAGUCUGAUGUGAAAGCCCACGGCUCAACCGUGGAGGGUCAUUGGAAACUGGAGAACUUGAGUACAGAAGAGGAAAGCGGAAUUCCACGUGUAGCGGUGAAACGCGUAGAGAUGUGGAGGAACACCAGUGGCGAAGGCGGCUUUCUGGUCUGUAACUGACGCUGAGGCGCGAAAGCGUGGGGAGCAAACAGGGAUUAGAUACCCUGGUAGUCCACGCCGUAAACGAUGAGUGCUAAGUGUUAGGGGGUUUCCGCCCCCUUGGUGCUGCAGCUAACGCAUUAAGCACUCCGCCUGGGGAUACGGCCGCAAGGCUG